UUUUGUGCUUGUGUUCAGUAUUUCUGUAAUUUACUGCCACUAAAUGAAUAGGAUACAAAGUCUAGUAAACCUACGUGAUUUUUGUAAGAGAAGACUGGGAGCAAGGUGACUGGGAGUGUGUCAUCUUGCCAGUAAAGUCUCUUCACCUUUACUGUGUACACAUAUGUAGUUAUGUGUUAUUCAUGCAAGUGGAAACUCUGGCUGUACUAUGUGCUGUUGGAAAAUCAACUUCUCAGUCAUAAUGAUAAAAAAUAAAGGUGCCGGCGGAGCAGCGGCGCGUGGCAGACGUGUGCCGGGCUGACGCCUGCUCACCUGGAGCCGCCCGAAACCUCCUCCAGCAGCAACACGGUCAGAUGAGGUCGGUGUGGCGGUGUCCGUAGGAUCAGCCCGGCCUGCCCGGACCAGCCCAGAUCUGGCCGAAGGUUAAAACAGGAGAGGAGCAACAAGGCGAGGGCGAGGAAUGAAAGGUAAAAAAAAGAAGAAACAACGUUUAUCGCAUUAUCUUCUAGACGAGGACGGGGGAAGGUGGGGUGGCGACACAGCCAACGGAGACGAAACAUCCAAAUAAGCGCUGCUGCUGUUGCGCUGUUUGUAAUGCGUCUGUGUGUAUCUCUACUCUGCUGUUUGUGGUGUUUUACACACACAAAGACAUUGUACUUCCUAGUUUCUUUAUUUUCCUCACUGACCAAGGAAGCAUAGAUAAAGAAGAGCCAUCGCAGUACCUCGUUCGUGGGUAUUGGACAUGGAAA
Frankliniella occidentalis (western flower thrips) is the source of this 749-nucleotide long non-coding RNA. RefSeq lists it as uncharacterized. The transcript is spliced from 3 exons. The record is from RefSeq and is a predicted model, not a curated record. Lineage: Eukaryota; Metazoa; Arthropoda; Insecta; Thysanoptera; Thripidae.